UCCUUGUUUGCUUUCAGAGUUUUCAAAGUGGAAGACUGCUGUCAGUCAGUGAGUUCCUGAAAGUUUGAUGACUGUGAGGAGUGUACUGUACAAUUCAAACUUGAAAUAGGAAAAGUGAAAGAGGGUUGAAUCAGGCUUUACUUAGUAUCCAAUCUAUAAGUAUCGAGGUACUUUCAUUCCAUCAGGAACUAGAAAUGGAUGUUGCAGUAAAAUUAGAAAUUUGUCUUCAACAAAUGUCCCAUUGGAUCUUACCUUCCAUGACAUCUGUUACACUGUUGGAAAUGUGAAACCUGUUUGUUAUUGCUCUAUGCACGCAAGGGCACUCCUCCAUUUAUAUAGGAGUGAUUAUGAAUACAUUAGAACUGUCAAACAAUGAACAGACUCAAAUUUCCUGCUUGUCUAGAGGUGAAUGUGAAAGGCUUUCUAUCGUAGUGGAAUUGUUUGACAAUCCUGCUAUAUUUUUCUUGAUGAACUAACCAGCGGACUGGACAUCUCGUCAACUUUCCAAUGCGUUGCCUUACUUCGUGAAAUCGCCAUAACCGUUGUAGCAACCAAUCCAUCAGCCAAGUUCGCGAUUAUUGGACCACUUUGAUCACCUAUACAUCGUGGCAAGUGAAUCUUUAGUCCUCCCGGAUUCUUAGUCCCUUAUCUGAAAACCGUCAACCUAAAUUGCCCCAGUUAUACAAAUCCACAGCUGACUUUGCAUAUUUUCAAAUUUGGCUUAGCUCAAAUAAUUAUUUGAAUAUCCAAAUCAUUUUUUUA
Long non-coding RNA from Daphnia pulicaria, 762 nucleotides. RefSeq lists it as uncharacterized. The record is from RefSeq and is a predicted model, not a curated record. Lineage: Eukaryota; Metazoa; Arthropoda; Branchiopoda; Diplostraca; Daphniidae. The transcript has 6 exons.